CUACUUUGACAUCUGCGGAUCCGAGCCUGACUCACCUACUAACGAAGGCAAGCCCCGGUGCAUGCAACCCCUUUCCUUGUGUUUUUAAAUAAUUUUCGCACACUUUAAGUCUAGUGAAAUGUGCAUUAGGUUCAUAGGAGUUGCUUGGAACCCUUUGAUGCAUUGCUUUCCUUGAUAUCCAUACCUUUAUAGAUACUUCUGUGAAGUAUCAAAAUAUGAUUUACAAAAAUGCUUAGCCCUGCUUAGAUCUUGUGGAUAGAGGUUGUCCUUAGCCUAGCUCGAGAAAGGAUGGCUUCUACCUGCAAGAAUAUUUUCAUUUGGAGCAAUGGUGGGAUCUUACUGCAAAGUUCCCUGUGAUGCUCUUUUCAUCCUAAGGAACAGAAACAAUCCUAAGGAUGGAAAUACUUAAAUUGAGACUUGGGUUAGGAACAUGUGAUGUUCUACCCAGGUUGAUUAAGGAUUGAAUGCGUAUGUAGGCGUGCUGAUCGAGGACCCUUUAACUGGUCACAUGCCUCGUCAUGGGUAAGCCUUGCCUCGGGCAGACUAAGGCCAGAAUAAGAUAACACGAAAUGGGCGUGGAGCGGUGGCGAGAGUAGCGUGUACCCUCCGUGGCAAGAGGCUGGACGGUGGUGUAUCUGUGCUCUCGGUUUGCGUGAACCUGAUCUGGUCUUAAGAACCCCGGUGGCGGGUUGACAUAUGCAAGGGUUAAGUGCUACAUAUGUCGUGUGAUUGGAGAUCCUCAGCUGAGUAUAAUCGAUUCGGAUCGCCGUACCUUCGCGGUUAUGAAGACUUGGUCACUUCCCUACAACCUAAGUCAGGAUGUGAACAUUAUGAAUAAAAAGGAUGUUGUAUUGAUGAGAUGAUGAAAUUAGACUAGAUGCAAACAAUGUCUAUUAAUAUUCAAUCUGGCGUUAAAAUAUUGAAAGUAAGGACUCACUUUAGUAAGCUAUUUCUGCAAAAGUAUCUAAGUUGAUUCUUGCUAAAGCCUCUCCUUGAUUCCUAUUUAUCCAGCAUACCCUCGAGAGUCUUUUCCUUAGUCGGGUAAGACUUGCUGAGUAAUUCCAUACUCAGGGUCUAUCCCUCCGUUGUUUUUAGGUGAGGAAGCGACAAAUUUUUGUUGCUUUUGCUCCAAGGUGGUGUCAAAUGAAGAAAAACAAGAGUGAAGAUGCGGGAGGACGUGGUCCUCCAUAAGAACCUUUGUUUGAUAGUUAUCGGGAGGAGUUUUUGCCUCCCUUGGUAUUGUAAUAAUACUACCCUGCACUCAUUUUAUAGCUCUGGUCUGUAAUAAAUAACUUGAUCUUACUUUCUAAAUAAAAUGUAAGUUUAUGUAAUCGCUUCCGCAUUUCUUUAUCUCCGAUGUUCUGUAAUGUCUGCAAGAUGGGUGAAACGUUCCUGGUAAGGUAAGAAAGAAGAUACCGAACUUGUCGAGUGAUUCAGGAACAUCUACAGGGUUGUCUGAUGUCUGUUGGACAAGGACAACUGUAGGUGGGCCUAAUGGCUCAGGAGGUUUCGUCACAGCUGGUAUCGGAGCGUAGCCCUUCUUUGCAGAUAUUAUGAGGCAUCUUCAAAAGGAUUUUCUAAAAGUCUUACCUAGAAACUCUCUUCCUUUCUUACCUAAGUAUUCUGAAGAGUCUAUCUUAAAGACCAGGUAGUAAGAGUGCAACAUAUAGAAGGUUGAAUCAACUAAGGUUGAUUCUGUAAUUACACAUGCAUCAUGCUAAGAAUUAUACUAAUAAAAUUUUCCCCCUUAGAAAGAUGCCGCCGCGCACAAGGAAAACGGCGCGCAAGUCAACUGGCCCAAUCGGUGUGCCCCGACAUCAACUUGCCCCUCGACAUGAGGAUAGUAGCAGCGGGAGCAAUGAUCCUAUCGGGAUCUAGAAGCACAAGUCGAAUUGCUUCAACCAGAACUCCGUCACAGGAAUGAUCUAUGGGUCGCGGAUGCAGCCAUCCGCUACUUGCAAGACCAACUCACGAAACGAGAUCUAGCGCUCGAUUGGGCGGUUAACUCUCGUCCACUUGCCUGGGCUAAGGAAGCCAAAGCUCGAGCCUGCGUGGAGGAGCUUAGCGUAGCCAUGGAUAACUUGCAGGUCUGUUAUAAUACACUACAUGAAGAAGUUCAUGUGAUGUAUUCGCAACUGCACCCCAACGUCCCUGUGAAUCCUGUCGGGAUGGAAGCCGGACCUUCUCAUGUAGCGGGAGAAGCACUUGAUGGUGAACUGGACCUUUUCAGGCCCCCUCCCUCUACGAAGUUGGUUGAUGAAUGGUCUUCUACGCCCAACAGUAAAGCUACCAAAAGUGAAAAGAAGUGGCUUACCAAGUGUCCGUAACAUUGGCCGGACGGGACUUUCCUACAAAUAUGAUUGUUCCAAAAGGCCAAGACAUAGAUGUCAUCUUGGGCAUGAACUGGUUAGCCCAGCAAAAAGCAAUUCUCAACCCUGAUCUGAGAACCAUCAGGUUGAGUUAUGACCAAUAGAGAGUUGGUGACUUGAUUGCCUAAACCCAAGAAUUAGGCUAUAUUAGUAUUUAGUGAACCAUGACCCACCCCAAAGUUGAAUUUUCUGAUAUCACUCCAUGACCAAACACGUACAAAUCAAUGCCUAGAUAAUUUCUUUGUCGGACCUAAAGUGUACCUAGACUUCAAACAAGGAUCUCAAGUCAUGUCUCCUCCUAGAGCCAUUCUGUUGUGCAGUUGAUACAGGUUGCGGUCUCUAGUAUAGUUGGUCUCUCCUUGCGGAUCGCCAUGUUACUUUAUUAACCCAACCUAGGAAAGACAUGUCCGACCAUUUUCCUUGAAUUUGAUGCCUUUGGUUUCUUCCUAUCUAUCGAAGGCAUACCAACUUAAUCCUUGACCUUGUGAUCUCUAUGAUGGGCAUAGAAAUAUGCUUGUGGCUGAAUUAACAGUCUCCCAUCGUACUUCUUUCAUCAAGUUUAGAUUAUGGCCAUGCCUUGGGCCAUGAUCUAUUUGGCGCUCUACUUGUAACCAUCUUUACUGGUGGAGUAUCUCUUUGUGUAUAGUCACCCUUGCUCAAUCUAUUGGUGUCGCAUAAGAUUUCUUAUUGGUUAUGUCUGGUAAUGGUGUUAUGACUAAAAUCGGUGACACCGCGCUGAAACCGAGGGCCUCCGGUGGGUGCACACACAUGGUUGCGCUACUUGGCACGCGCUAGUAUCACAGUUAGUAGUCAUAAUCCAUUAUAAGACUAUAUUGAUAUGUUAUCUCUACACAAAUUAUUCUUACCACGUGAGAUUCAGUAUUGGUGUCAGUUUUGUAAUGGUGUCAUGGUUAAGGACUUAUGGUACUGCAGCGAAACUGAGAGCCUCCUGUAAAUGUGCACACAGGAUUUUGCUGCUUGGCGCAUGUCGGUAUCGAGGUCUCUAGUCAUGAUCCAUUAUGGAAUUACACUGAUGUGUUAUCUCCCAUUGACCUUUCCUUGAAACAAUUUCUAUGUUGAUUGUGAAGAGAUCCAGCAACCUCUGUCAUUUCCGUUGGAUCAAAAGGGCAUACCACUUUCAUGUGUGGUCUUAUUUCUUUUGAUCUUGGUAGUGACUACCCACACAAGUUCCCUUUGCAUCCUUUGUGUAAAGGUGAAGCCUUGGAGCUUUUUAGUGUUGGACAACAACUGAUUAGCUCCCAAAAUGGAGAUCUGUUUUCCCUGUUGUUGAAAUGCAGGAGUUUAUUCAUUCGCUCUCUUAUUUAAUCCAUGUAUUCCCUAAACAAGUGGAUAAUUCAUCUCGCAUGAGAAAAACGAAUGAACAACUUGACCAAAUAGAUUUUUACCCACAUACAUAACCUCUUGUUAACAAAGAGUGAACUCUCAACCCUUGGCUUACCAAUGGUAUGGAGAAGAUUUGCUUAAUGUCAAAAGUAGUUCAACAAGUUGGUUUUGACUAACUUGUAACUGCAUUUGAAACAAAGGUUGAGUUUAGAGAUCGUUUUAUCGAUUUGCCUGAACUCACUUUGGUCUAACCCACCCUAAAGAAAGUACUUACCAAAAAUCAAAUUAAGUCGACCAGUAACCACCUAAUUAUCGCUCAAGUCACGCCUCGACCGCCUCACGCUUGCUUUUCCUGCGUAUGUGAUCAUGCCGAUCCAUGACUAGUGCUGGAUAAAAUGGACUGGUUGCAAAGUCCGCAUCUACAGAUCCCUCCGCUGCUGAUUUUCCUGAAUCUAUAUCACCUUUCGUGGACUUGGAUUCCUUGGCUAACACGAGUUAACCGUGAUGUUAUUCGACAUUCACACCCAUCUCGUGUGCUAUGAACUUACUGUAACCACUUGUUGGUAAACCUCUUUCUGUGUGUUUUACCCAAGAUGGUGCAUUUGAUUCUGUUUGGGUAAAAUUGCGUAAUUGCCGCCCGCCCAACAGACUCAGAUAGUACAGUGUCAUCAGAAGAAGCAAAUUGCACACAUGGAACCUUAUGUGUUCUUCUGGCUGACAUCGUCUCUAUUAGUGGGCAAAGAUGAAAAUUGAAAUUGCACGUUAUGUGGCUGAAUGUGACACUUGCAGACGUGUCAAGGCUAUAUACCUGAAGACUGCUGGUCCAUUACAAUCUUUGCCAAUCCCAACAUGAAAAUGGGAAGAUAUUAGUAUGGACUUCAUUGUGGGAUUACCUAGGACUACAAAAGGGUAUGAUUCUAUCUGGGGUUAUAAUUGAUCGGCUUACGAAAAUUGCUCAUUUUCUGCCAGUCAAUACAAAUCAACCGGUUACUAUCUAUGCCCAAUUGUACAUUGCUCGCAUUCUCAGUUUGCAUGGUGUUCCGAAGACUAUAGUGUCGGAUCGUGGACCUCAAUUCGUAUCCAAAUUUUGGGAAGAACUUCAUAGAUCCCUGGGUACUAAAUUGCUCCACAGUUCGGCCUAUCAUCCUCAAACCAGUGGGUAGACUGAGAGGGUCAAUCAAAUACUUGAAGAUAUGCUGCAGACAUGUGUUCUGGACUUCUCAUAGAAAUGGGAUGAAUGUUUGCCCUUAGCGGAAUUUUCAUAUAAUAAUAGCUAUCAAGAAAGCAUCAAGAUGGCACCCUUUGAAGCUUUAUAUGGACGACGAUGUCGUACUCUGCUAAAUUGGUCUGAACCUGGUGAAAGGUACUUCUUCAGGCCUGAUAUGGUGAAAGAGACCGAAGUAAGAGUUCAAAGAAUAAUUCAUAAUAUGAAGAAAGCCCAAGCUCGUCAGAAGAAUUAUGCAGACAAACGGAGAAUGCCUUUAUAUUUCCUUAAGGGAGACUAUGUCUACUUAAAGGUUUCACCAAUGAAGGGCGUAUCGCGUUUCGGGGUUAAAGGAAAGCUUGCACCACGAUAUAUUGGUCCAUUCCCUAUACUUGAAAGAUAUGGGCCAGUGGCAUACCGACUUCAGUUACCCGAAACCUUGUCUGCUGUGCAUAAUGUGUUCCACGUGUCUCAAUUAAAGAAGUGUCUUCGGGUUCCCGAUUGAACCAUUGACAUAACGGAUGUUGCCCUAGAACCAGACUUGACAUAUUCUGAGUAUCCUAUUCGAGUCUUGGAUCAAAAGGACAGAAUUACCCGAAGAAAAACUCUCAAGUUUUACAAGAUACAGUGGAACCGGCAUUCCGAAGAUGAGGCUACGUGGGAAACUCAAAACUUUUUAGAUAAGAAUUUCCCAGGCUUUUUAGCCUCUUGUGAAUUGUAAAGCCUCUAUAACUGUUGUAAUAAAAGGAGUAAAUUCCCAAGCCACCCCUGCCUUGUACCAGAAAUAAGGAAAUAAAAGUAUGUCGCGUUUCCUUCUCCAUUACCUACCCUAGGACUUUUAAUCUCGGGACGAGAUUCUUUUGUGAGGGGAAGGAUGUAACACCCCUGGUGUUACUGUAACUAAAACUUGAGCAUGGCAUCAUAAGCAUUGGCAUUGCAUAUGUUUGACACACCUAGAGUGCAUUCACUAGGUAAAAAUUUCAAACAAGUUGUAUUGUUAUAGCACUUUGCAAAUAGAACCCUAGAUAGGGGACUUAACCCUAAAUGGGGAUUAAAGGGGUAAAACCUAACCCAAGUUGAGAAAACCUAAAAGCUUUAAGGGAAAUAGUAUAAAAUGUCCCCAAAAAUAAAGUUGAAUCACAUUUAUACCCCUGGGAUACCAAAAACCCUAAUUGGAACCCUGGAAAACCCUAAAUCCAAACCCUAGGGGCUUAUGUGCAAAAUUAGUCCACUUUUGGACGAAAGUGCAAAAACUAAGUUAAAUAGGUACCUUAAGUCAAUUGGGUCACUCAUAUGUGAAUUUACAAGCCAAACCCUAAGUUUUGGCCUCAUUUGCAAAAAAGACCCUAUUUGAGGUUUUAUACUAAGUCUGAAAAACAGUGUUAUGGGCUCAACUUUUGAGCCUUGUAACUUUUAAAUCAUAGGGUUUUUGCCCUAGGUCACCACAUCAAUGUUGUAAAGCAAACAAAGGAGAACAAUUUUGCUGAAGUGGGCAAGCCAUGUUCUUGUGAGAAAUUUGGAGAUAAUCAUGCUCAAACUUUGGCUGUCAGGCUGAUUAAGUCUGAAAAUCAGACUAACAGUGGACUCACAUCAACUUCAAGACCAAGUUCAUGCAUGAUCUGCUGCCUUUUUGUGACAACACCAUAUAGCAAAGUUGUAGUUGGUAUAAUGCUCUACAAGUUUGCUGCAGAGUUAAACUUGUGUUGUUAUUAGAAAUUAAGAGAAAAUUGGGCUCUAAACUUGAUUGUCAGGCUGUCUGAAUACCACUCUCCAUGGUACAGUGCUAUCAGGGGGGAUCAGAACGCCAGCUCAGUCAUCUCACCGCCGAUGAAGCCUCGUCGUGAUUCGUGUCACCGGCGCCAGGAUUCGCGCUCGGGGUGGAUUGAUAACGUCGCGGGGAUAAGGAUCCUCGCCGACGGUGAGCUGGAGGUCACUCUGGUGACUCACCGUGGCUCCCCUUCUGCUUUACGGCUGGAGGCAGUUAGCUCGCCGGUGAACCGCCAUUGCUCGGUUGUGCGCCACGUAUCCGAGCACUUCUGUCGCGUCACUGUGCCUCUUUACAGCCGUUAAAUCAACGCCGGUGAGCUCGCCACGACUGUGGACACGCACCCACGGCACCAGAGUUCUUUCCCCUCUCCGGCCGCCAGCACCCCUCGGCCGAAUUCGUCACCGACCCUCGAUGCGCCUAUAAAUUGCGUGUGUCACUAGCUCCGUAGGGUAGUAAGCUGUCCAGCCACCACGAAUCAGCCUCGGUCAUUCACUAGAAUCCACGAAUUUGGAAUUCUCCCCAAAACUGUUUCCGCCACCGUAGAACCAAGCUCGCCGUGGCCAGCCACUUCCAGGUUCAUCCAUGCCCUCUGCUACCUUGUUUCAGCAUUAGUAUGCUUCCCUGAUGCUCAUCCAUCCACCCAAUUAAGCUAAACCGCCACCAAUCGCCGGGAACGCGAUUGAUUACCCAUGGUGCCCGCUGUCACCAUGGACAGAGCAGGGUAGAUCGUCGUUCGUGAAAUUGGUUGAGGGGAAAGGUACGGUAGGCAUCUAAUUUGGUCCCUGUCGCUUUGGGGAUCCAGCCAUGGCGUUGGCCGGCCGGAAUUGGCUCGCCGGGGUGCGGCGAGGGCUGUUCCUCGUCGUGGACCUUGGUCUGCGAAGGAAUAGAAGUUUAAGGGCCUUAGUGCAAACUGUCAGUGACUCAUAAGCAUAGUAACUGAACCCAACUUCCAUUAGCCAAAACCCCGAGGACCUCUGCGCAAAGUCACCUCGGGCGCGCGUGCGCGGGCGCAUUUCUGCUGUAGUUGGGCCGACUUGGGCUGAUUUCGGCCCGAGACUGUUCAUUAAUUUUCUUUUUCUUUUACUAGCAAGCUUUGGAAAUCUGUCAUAAAUUGUAGAAAAAUCUUAAAAUUGUCAAACAAAUUUUCCUAGACUCCUUAUUUUCCCUAGUAUUUAAUAAAAAUAGUUUCAUGAUUUUUAGUUUAAACAGGGAAUUUUAGGGCAUUUAAAAUAGCUUAAAGAAAUAGUUCUGGAAUUUUAGAGAAUUAAUAGUAAUGCCAAAAAUGUUCAAACUUUUUAUAUGAACUUAAAACAUUAAUUAGAAGCCAUGGGUAGAAUUUGGUUUGAUUUAGACCAUGUUUGAUAACUAGAACCCAAAACCCUACCCCUGCCCUUUAAACUCCUUUACUGACUCCGGAAACCCUAAGUUCUCGGAGUUCCGUGAAGGAAAGUUGUAUUCAAGACCUAGAUAAUAAAUCUUUAUUAUCUUUGCACUCUCAUGAGCAUUACAUGGCAUUCAUUCUUAUAUAUAUACCUAUAUGGUUAUAUUUAGAAAACGAAGAAGAGAUUGAAGUGACUGAAGAGAAGACACCACCACCUUCGGAAUCUCAGG
Molecule: long non-coding RNA, 8296 nt
Filed under: Zea mays
Lineage: Eukaryota; Viridiplantae; Streptophyta; Magnoliopsida; Poales; Poaceae
Description: long non-coding RNA (ZMAY_LNC004689)
Source: RNAcentral